CUUGCACACUUGGGUCAUUCAAAGAGUGGGAUGUGCACACACAAAACUGUUUCAUUGCAGUGGUUGGAGAAGGGCAACAGGUGCGAAUGAUGCUUAAAAAUGCUGGCAGAAAAACAAUGUAGUGGGUCCACUCCAUCCUCCACAAAAACAAAAACUCAUGUGAUGCAUUUACACUUAGCUUUACUUGUUAUUUAUUUAUUUAUUCAUAUAUACACACACAAACAUAUAUAUAUAUAUAUAUAUAUAUAUAUAUAAACACAUAUGUUUUGUGUUUGAAAUAAACGGUUCAAAUAACUUCACAUUUCUUGUUGUGAAUAAAUGCAUUCUAGACUUGUUGCAUCAAAAUUAUAAAC
RNAcentral lists this long non-coding RNA (353 nucleotides) under Physcomitrium patens. RNAcentral's name for it is "long non-coding RNA (PPAT_LNC005042)". Lineage: Eukaryota; Viridiplantae; Streptophyta; Bryopsida; Funariales; Funariaceae. The record is from RNAcentral.